RNAcentral lists this transfer RNA (74 nucleotides) under Aplysia californica (California sea hare). RNAcentral's name for it is "tRNA-Ile (TAT) (tRNA-Ile-TAT-2-1)". It matches the Rfam family "tRNA". From Rfam's summary of the family: Transfer RNA (tRNA) molecules are approximately 80 nucleotides in length. Lineage: Eukaryota; Metazoa; Mollusca; Gastropoda; Aplysiida; Aplysiidae. The record is from RNAcentral. RNAcentral also lists the same sequence under 1 other name.
GCUCCAGUGGCACAAUCGGUUAGCGCGCCGUACUUAUAAUGCGGAGGUUGUGAGUUCGAUCCUCACCUGGAGCA